Molecule: ribosomal RNA, 253 nt
Filed under: uncultured bacterium
Lineage: Bacteria
Description: partial 16S ribosomal RNA
Rfam family: Bacterial small subunit ribosomal RNA
Source: RNAcentral
UACGUAGGGUGCAAGCGUUGUCCGGAAUUAUUGGGCGUAAAGAGCUCGUAGGCGGUUUGUUGCGUCGGCUGUGAAAACCUGAGGCUCAACCUCAGGCCUGCAGUCGAUACGAGCAGACUAGAGUGUUGCAGGGGAGACUGGAAUUCCUGGUGUAGCGGUGAAAUGCGCAGAUAUCAGGAGGAACACCGGUGGCGAAGGCGGGUCUCUGGGCCGAUACUGACGCUGAGGAGCGAAAGCCAGGGGAGCAAACGGG